This 689-nucleotide long non-coding RNA is filed under the name Gopherus agassizii (Agassiz's desert tortoise). RNAcentral describes it as "lncRNA (ENSGAGG00000000857.1)". Lineage: Eukaryota; Metazoa; Chordata; Testudines; Testudinidae. The record is from RNAcentral.
GAGGGAGCGGACAACAGAUUGAACGCAGGAGAAAGCCGAGGGGGAAGGGGAAGUGGACGAGAGCGCAUGCGCUAAGUGACAGCCGCGGGGACGACCGUACACAUGCAAAGGGAGGAGAACGAACUAGCUAGAAAGCGCAUGCGCAGUAGAGAUGUGUGACGACUGAUGAGACGUAAAGCGCGUGCGCCGCUGAAAGUCAAGCUGUCUGGAUACGGGUAUUGGCUAAGGAUCUCGAGAACGCGUGCAUAGUGCUAGAGACAGAAGAGAGCGCAUGCGCUAGAGAAGUUCCCUGUCUCUUGGAUCUCAGCUGGAAAUGCUUCUCAAAGAGGGACAAAAACUAUAAAAAGGAGGGGAAAACACCCCAAGACCCCUCCUUCCCAUCCGUCUCUGGAUCUGAGAAGACAAAAGAAGCAGCCGCUGGACUCUGGAGGAGAGUCCUGAUGUGAAGGAUUUGGUCAGUAAUGCUGCUGGAAGCAUAUGGUACAGUGAAGCUGUCCACGACCAGCGUAAAUCUCUCUGAAUAGGAGACAGAGCUUUCUUUGGGUCUGUUCCAGCCGGUGGAACGUACUCCCACAGGAUAGAAAACCCAUAUCAAACACCAGCACUUUCCAUUCUGGAUCGGUGAGUAGCGAUCCAUCUAUGGGGAUCGAUGUAUUGCCUCUAGUCUAGAUAUGAUAAAUUGAUCCCUG